CCAGACUCCUACGGGAGGCAGCAGUGGGGGAUAUUGCACAAUGGGGGAAACCCUGAUGCAGCGACGCCGCGUGGGCGAAGAAGUAUUUCGGUAUGUAAAGCCCUAUCAGCAGGGAAGAAGAAAUGACGGUACCUGAGUAAGAAGCACCGGCUAACUACGUGCCAGCAGCCGCGGUAAUACGUAGGGGGCGAGCGUUAUCCGGAUUCACUGGGUGUAAAGGGAGCGUAGACGGCCAAGCAAGCCAGGGGUGAAAGCCCGGGGCCCAACCCCGGGACUGCCCUUGGAACUGCACGGCUGGAGUGCGGGAGGGGCAGGCGGAAUUCCUGGUGUAGCGGUGAAAUGCGUAGAUAUAAGGAGGAACACCGGCGGCGAAGGCGGCCUGCUGGACCGCGACUGACGUUGAGGCUCGAAAGCGUGGGGAGCGAACAGGAUUAGAUACCCUAGUAACA
This 449-nucleotide ribosomal RNA is filed under the name uncultured bacterium. RNAcentral's name for it is "partial 16S ribosomal RNA". It matches the Rfam family "Bacterial small subunit ribosomal RNA", at positions 331 to 795 of the family's 1533-position model. The record is from RNAcentral.